This 695-nucleotide long non-coding RNA is filed under the name Medicago truncatula (barrel medic). RNAcentral describes it as "long non-coding RNA (MTRU_LNC005428)". Lineage: Eukaryota; Viridiplantae; Streptophyta; Magnoliopsida; Fabales; Fabaceae. The record is from RNAcentral.
AUUUUAAGAGACGUUUGGCCAUGGAGCAAUCUGGCAAUACUAACUUUGUCCCCUUAGUACCCUUUCCCCCAGAUUACUUUGCCAAAAAGGAAAAACCACAGGCAGAUGGAACAGAUUCAACAGACAGGUCCAAUGUUGAAUCAUCCUCAGUAUCUGAAGGGACUGAGAUGUCAGGUGAUGCUACAGCUAGACCUGAACAGAGUCCAGGACCUUCUUCUGAUCAGAUCUCAAGUAAAAACAAUCGUAUUGGUUCUACUUAUGCGGCUUCAAGCAGUGGAGAUUCAAGUCAGGAUUUUAAGAGACGUUUGGCCAUGGAGCAAUCUGGCAAUACUAACUUUGUCCCCUUAGUACCCUUUCCCCCAGAUUACUUUGCCAAAAAGGAAAAACCACAGGCAGAUGGAACAGAUUCAACAGACAGGUCCAAUGUUGAAUCAUCCUCAGUAUCUGAAGGGACUGAGAUGUCAGGUGAUGCUACAGCUAGACCUGAACAGAGUCCAGGACCUUCUUCUGAUCAGAUCUCAAGUAAAAACAAUCGUAUUGGUUCUACUUAUGCGGCUUCAAGCAGUGGAAAUUCAAGUCAGGAUUUUAAGAGACGUUUGGCCAUGGAGCAAUCUGGCAAUACUAACUUUGUCCCCUUAGUACCCUUUCCCCCAGAUUACUUUGCCAAAAAGGAAAAACCACAGGCAGAUGGAACA